GAUGAAGAACGUAGCGAAAUGCGAUACGUAGUGUGAAUUGCAGAAUUCAGUGAAUCAUCGAAUCUUUGAACGCACAUUGCGCCCGCCAGUAUUCUGGCGGGCAUGCCUGUUCGAGCGUCAUUUCAACCAUCAAGCCCCCGGCUUGUGUUGGGGACCUGCGGCUGCCGCAGGCCCUGAAAACCAGUGGCGGGCUCGCUAGUCACUCCGAGCGUAGUAAUACAUCUCGCUCAGGGCGUGCUGCGGGUUCCGGCCGUUAAAAAGCCUUAUUUACCCAAGGUUGACCUCGGAUCAGGUAGGAAGACCCGCUGAACUUAAGCAUAUCAAUAAGCGGAGGA
This 335-nucleotide unclassified non-coding RNA is filed under the name soil metagenome. RNAcentral describes it as "partial contains 5.8S ribosomal RNA, internal transcribed spacer 2, and large subunit ribosomal RNA". The stretch from base 1 to 120 matches the Rfam family "5.8S ribosomal RNA", at positions 35 to 154 of the family's 154-position model. The record is from RNAcentral.